Molecule: non-coding RNA, 75 nt
Organism: Myotis davidii
Lineage: Eukaryota; Metazoa; Chordata; Mammalia; Chiroptera; Vespertilionidae
Source: Rfam
GGCAGUUCUCAGGUGAUGCACCCCAGAGUCAGAGUCCCUCCUUUCUGGUUCUGGGUGCGUCACCCGAGAACUACA